This 257-nucleotide unclassified non-coding RNA is filed under the name plant metagenome. RNAcentral describes it as "partial contains small subunit ribosomal RNA, internal transcribed spacer 1, and 5.8S ribosomal RNA". The record is from RNAcentral.
UUUCCGUAGGUGAACCUGCGGAAGGAUCAUUAACGAGUUAGGGUCUACUAGGCCCGACCUCCCAACCCUUUGUUUACUGAACCAUUGUUGCCUCGGUGGGUCCGUCUUACGACCGCCGGGGGAUCGCCGCGAGGCGCCCCCUGGCCAGCGCCCACCGAUAGCCCAACCUUUAAAACCCUUUGUGAAUCGUGUCUUAUGUCUAAAUUUAUGAUUAAACAAUCAAAACAAAACUUUCAACAACGGAUCUCUUGGUUCUG